GAUGAACGCUGGCGGCGUGCCUAAUACAUGCAAGUCGAGCGAACAGACGAGGAGCUUGCUCCUCUGACGUUAGCGGCGGACGGGUGAGUAACACGUGGAUAACCUACCUAUAAGACUGGGAUAACUUCGGGAAACCGGAGCUAAUACCGGAUAAUAUAUUGAACCGCAUGGUUCAAUAGUGAAAGACGGUUUUGCUGUCACUUAUAGAUGGAUCCGCGCCGCAUUAGCUAGUUGGUAAGGUAACGGCUUACCAAGGCGACGAUGCGUAGCCGACCUGAGAGGGUGGGCGGCCACACUGGAACUGAGACACGGUCCAGACUCCUACGGGAGGCAGCAGUAGGGAAUCUUCCGCAAUGGGCGAAAGCCUGACGGAGCAACGCCGCGUGAGUGAUGAAGGUCUUCGGAUCGUAAAACUCUGUUAUUAGGGAAGAACAAAUGUGUAAGUAACUAUGCACGUCUUGACGGUACCUAAUCAGAAAGCCACGGCUAACUACGUG
Molecule: ribosomal RNA, 497 nt
Filed under: uncultured bacterium
Lineage: Bacteria
Description: partial 16S ribosomal RNA
Rfam family: Bacterial small subunit ribosomal RNA
Source: RNAcentral